Molecule: ribosomal RNA, 1149 nt
Filed under: Triticum aestivum (bread wheat)
Lineage: Eukaryota; Viridiplantae; Streptophyta; Magnoliopsida; Poales; Poaceae
Description: partial small subunit ribosomal RNA
Source: RNAcentral
AUGGGCUGUGUCAUCUCCAGCUCCUCCGCCCUUACUCCCUCCGCCGCCACCGCCGCCGUCAAGCCUGAGACCGUCUCACCCAGGUCAGGCUCGCAUGUUCUACUUCUGUACAUUAACAUGUACCCGACAUACCAAGGGCUCGGCAACGGCAGGUGCGUCAAAUCGGAGACCUUCCUCGCCGGAGGCCGUCGCUGGUACGUUGAGUUCUACCCCGACGGCCAUGGCCCGCAGGACACCGGCUGGAUAUCCGUCUUCCUCUUCCUCGUCCCGGCAGGCGCCUUCGAGGUCGUCACGACGCAGCUCAAGAUCAGCCUGCUCGACGCCCACGGGAAGCCGGUGCCGUCCUACGGCAGCGGAGGUGCGUGGAGGUGCUGCACCUUCUCCACCAAUGAAGGGUCGUGGGGUUACUCUCGGUUCAUCACCAGGGCUGAUCUCGGGAGAUUAGGUCACGUGUCGUGGGAGAACGGUGGUUUCAGUGUCCAAUUCGACAUCAUUGUGUCCAAGGAGAUUUCCACUGAGUACGUUCCUGGACGGAACCAUGAUCGCAUGCUGGUGCCGCCGCCGGAUAUCCUCCAUGAUCUCGGCCAGCUCCUCUCCUCAGGAGAAGGGGCGGACGUCACGUUCGAGGUCGGCGGUGAGAUGUUCGCCGCACACAGGUGUGUCCUUGGCGCUCGUUCCUCUGUCUUCAGGGCGCAGCUUCUGGGUCCAAUGAAGGAGAGCACAUCAAUGUGCGUGCAGAUAGAGGACAUGGAGCCAAAAGUAUUCCAGGCAUUGCUUCAUUUUAUCUACACCGAUUCGGUGCCUGAGAUCGACGAUGCUGACGCAGUGGGGAUGAUCCAGCAUUUGCUUGUCGCCGCGGACAGGUACAGCCUCAAGAGACUGAAGUUGACCUGCGAAGACAAACUAUGCAGUUACAUCAACACUAGCACAGUGGCCACUACAGUGGCACUCGCCGAGCAACAUGCUUGUCCUGCACUCAAGGAGGAAUGCUUCAGAUUCCUCGAGUCCUGUAACAAUAGCAUGCUGGAUCUGAUCACACGGAGUUCUGACUUUGAGCAUCUAGCAAGAAGUUGCCCGUCUAUUAUGAAGGAGCUUAUUCCCAAACUUGCUCGCAAACCCCCGUGUGUAACAAACUAUAGCAACAUGUAA